Long non-coding RNA from Pangasianodon hypophthalmus (striped catfish), 808 nucleotides. RefSeq lists it as uncharacterized. The record is from RefSeq and is a predicted model, not a curated record. NCBI's taxonomy places the organism in Eukaryota, Metazoa, Chordata, Actinopteri, Siluriformes, Pangasiidae. The transcript has 4 exons.
UAAGCAAUAAGAAUGAAACAUCCAUCAUGUUAUUAACAAUAAAAAGGAUUAAGUGUACAAUAGUUGGCCGAGCGUACAUGGUUUGACCUGAGCUCAGCAGAGGAAAGAGCCAGGGCCGUGCCGAACCGCAGCUGACGGAGCUCUUUGAUUUUUUCCCUGCGCUUUUUCCCGAAGGGGCCCCGGGAGCGGAGCCAUUCACCGUCCAAAGCAAUAAAUGUGCAAAGCAGGUCAGGACUGGUACUGCAUUUUCAAAGAGGACGUGUGAACAUUGGAGCAUAGCCAAAAUGCCUGGGAAAGGUAACAAGUCGGACAAGAAAUCCACCACCAAGCCACCUCAGAGUCCUAAAGAUCAGCCGAAGAAAGGUGAUCAGAAAGGAAAUGACAACAAGAAGCAAGGAGGACAGCCGAAGGGAGAGAAGCAAUAACUUCCAGGCCUUCGUGAAGCUGGCCCUGGAGACGCUCUUGGGUUCCUGCAACCGCAAAUACAGAGGCCCUCGGGGUAGACAAAGCUGAAGUGAUAAAAUAAGAACCACAUAUCCUACGCAUUUCAGCUCUUAAUUGGAACCUCUCGGUCCCACAAUGCCUACUGUCACGGGUUUCGGAGCUGAACAGUCAUACACUGACGACACCUCCGAGUUCUACACUUUUCUAGCCACUUUCCCAUCUCAGCCUUUCACAGUCCGCCCAUAUGAUGGUACUUUGUGUUGUAUAGAAAUAAUUGAAUUACCUACCUUAAUAAACAUUAUUUCAUACUGAUAUCACACAAAGGUUUGUGUACUGAUUCGGUGGUUUGAACUGCACUGAGAAG